Molecule: ribosomal RNA, 603 nt
Filed under: uncultured bacterium
Lineage: Bacteria
Description: bacterial SSU rRNA
Rfam family: Bacterial small subunit ribosomal RNA
Source: RNAcentral
AGNCGAACGGAUCCAGAGCUUGCUCAGGGAAAGUGGCGCACGGGUGAGUAACGCGUGGAUACCUGCCCUGGUAUCUGGGAUAACAUCUCGAAAGGGGUGCUAAUACCGGAUAAGGUCCUCGGACAAAAGGUGGCCUCUAUUUAUGCUACCGUAUCAGGAUGGGUCCGCGUACCAUUAGCUAGUUGGUGGGGUAAUGGCCCACCAAGGCGACGAUGGUUAGCUGGUCUGAGAGGAUGAUCAGCCACACUGGAACUGAGACACGGUCCAGACUCCUACGGGAGGCAGCAGUGGGGAAUUUUGCGCAAUGGGGGAAACCCUGACGCAGCAACGCCGCGUGAGUGAUGAAGGCUUUCGGGUCGUAAAGCUCUGUCAGAGGGGAAGAAUGAGCUUGGCUAAUAUCCAGGUUUCUUGACGGUACCCUCAAAGGAAGCACCGGCUAACUCCGUGCCAGCAGCCGCGGUAAUACGGAGGGUGCAAGCGUUGUUCGGAUUUAUUGGGCGUAAAGCGCGUGUAGGCGGUUUCUUAAGUCUGAUGUGAAAGCCCUGGGCUCAACCCAGGAAGUGCAUUGGAUACUGGGAGACUUGAAUACGGGAGAGGGUAGUG